GACGAACGCUGGCGGCGUACUUAACACAUGCAAGUCGAACGGAAAGGCCCUGCUUUUGUGGGGUGCUCGAGUGGCGAACGGGUGAGAAACACGUGAGUAACCUGCCCUUGACUUUGGGAUAACUUCAGGAAACUGGGGCUAAUACCGGAUAGGAGCUCCUGCUGCAUGGUGGGGGUUGGAAAGUUUCGGCGGUUGGGGAUGGACUCGCGGCUUAUCAGCUUGUUGGUGGGGUAGUGGCUUACCAAGGCUUUGACGGGUAGCCGGCCUGAGAGGGUGACCGGCCACAUUGGGACUGAGAUACGGCCCAGACUCCUACGGGAGGCAGCAGUGGGGAAUAUUGCACAAUGGGCGGAAGCCUGAUGCAGCAACGCCGCGUGCGGGAUGACGGCCUUCGGGUUGUAAACCGCUUUCGCCUGUGACGAAGCGUGAGUGACGGUAAUGGGUAAAGAAGCACCGGCUAACUACGUG
RNAcentral lists this ribosomal RNA (468 nucleotides) under uncultured bacterium. RNAcentral's name for it is "partial 16S ribosomal RNA". It matches the Rfam family "Bacterial small subunit ribosomal RNA", at positions 28 to 507 of the family's 1533-position model. The record is from RNAcentral.